ACGGGAGGCAGCAGUGGGGAAUAUUGGGCAAUGGGCGAAAGCCUGACCCAGCAACGCCGCGUGAAGGAUGACGGUCUUCGGAUUGUAAACUUCUUUAAUUGGGGAAGAACAAAAUGACCUACCCAAAGAAUAAGUCACGGCUAACUACGUGCCAGCAGCCGCGGUAAUACGUAGGUGACAAGCGUUAUCCGGAUUUACUGGGUGUAAAGGGCGUGUAGGCGGUUUUGCAAGUCAGAUGUGAAAUUCCCGGGCUUAACUUGGGCGCUGCAUCUGAAACUGCAGAACUUGAGUACUGGAGGGGAUAGCGGAAUUCCUAGUGUAGCGGUAAAAUGCGCAGAUAUUAGGAGGAACACCGGUGGCGAAGGCGGCUAUCUGGACAGUAACUGACGCUGAGGCGCGAAAGCGUGGGGAGCAAACAGGAUUAGAUACCCUGGUA
RNAcentral lists this ribosomal RNA (436 nucleotides) under uncultured Saccharofermentans sp. RNAcentral's name for it is "partial 16S ribosomal RNA". It matches the Rfam family "Bacterial small subunit ribosomal RNA", at positions 341 to 792 of the family's 1533-position model. Lineage: Bacteria; Bacillati; Bacillota; Clostridia; Eubacteriales; Oscillospiraceae. The record is from RNAcentral.